ACGCACGCUGGCGGCGUGCUUAACACAUGCAAGUCGAACGGAAAGGCCCUGCUUUUGUGGGGUGCUCGAGUGGCGAACGGGUGAGUAACACGUGAGUAACCUGCCCUUGACUUUGGGAUAACUUCAGGAAACUGGGGCUAAUACCGGAUAGGAGCUCCUGCUGCAUGGUGGGGGUUGGAAAGUUUCGGCGGUUGGGGAUGGACUCGCGGCUUAUCAGCUUGUUGGUGGGGUAGUGGCUUACCAAGGCUUUGACGGGUAGCCGGCCUGAGAGGGUGACCGGCCACAUUGGGACUGAGAUACGGCCCAGACUCCUACGGGAGGCAGCAGUGGGGAAUAUUGCACAAUGGGCGGAAGCCUGAUGCAGCAACGCCGCGUGCGGGAUGACGGCCUUCGGGUUGUAAACCGCUUUCGCCUGUGACGAAGCGUGAGUGACGGUAAUGGGUAAAGAAGUACCGGCUAACUACGUG
This 467-nucleotide ribosomal RNA is filed under the name uncultured bacterium. RNAcentral's name for it is "partial 16S ribosomal RNA". It matches the Rfam family "Bacterial small subunit ribosomal RNA", at positions 29 to 507 of the family's 1533-position model. The record is from RNAcentral.